Molecule: ribosomal RNA, 468 nt
Filed under: uncultured Sphingobacteriales bacterium
Lineage: Bacteria; Pseudomonadati; Bacteroidota; Sphingobacteriia; Sphingobacteriales
Description: bacterial SSU rRNA
Rfam family: Bacterial small subunit ribosomal RNA
Source: RNAcentral
ACGGGGCCCGCACAAGCGGAGGAGCAUGUGGUUUAAUUCGAUGAUACGCGACGGAACCUUACCUGGGCUCGAACGUAAGAUGACUGUAGGUGAAAGCUUACAUCUCUUCGGAGCAUUUUACGAGGUGCUGCAUGGUUGUCGUCAGCUCGUGCCGUGAGGUGUCGGGUUAAGUCCCAUAACGAGCGCAACCCUACCUUUAGUUGCCAUCAGGUAAUGCUGGGGACUCUAAAGGAACUGCCUACGCAAGUAGUGAGGAAGGCGGGGAUGACGUCAAAUCAGCACGGCCCUUACGUCCAGGGCUACACACGUGCUACAAUGGCCGAUACAGAGGGCAGCUACCUGGUGACAGGAUGCAAAUCUCCAAAGUCGGUCUCAGUUCGGAUCGGAGUCUGCAACCCGACUCCGUGAAGUUGGAUUCGCUAGUAAUCGCGCAUCAGCCAUGGCGCGGUGAAUACGUUCCCGGGCCUU